GACGAACGCUGGCGGCGUGCCUAACACAUGCAAGUCGAACGGGGUUGUUCCUUCGGGGACAACUUAGUGGCGAACGGGUGAGUAACGCGUGAGGAACCUGCCUUUCAGUGGGGGACAACAGUUGGAAACGACUGCUAAUACCGCAUAACGUGACGGAAUCGCAUGAUUCUGUUACCAAAGCUGAGGCGCUGAAAGAUGGACUCGCGUCUGAUUAGAUAGUUGGUGAGGUAACGGCUCACCAAGUCGACGAUCAGUAGCCGGACUGAGAGGUUGAACGGCCACAUUGGGACUGAGACACGGCCCAGACUCCUACGGGAGGCAGCAGUGGGGGAUAUUGGGCAAUGGGCGAAAGCCUGACCCAGCGACGCCGCGUGCGGGAAGAAGGCCUCGGUUGUAAACCGCUGUAGACAGGGACGAAACAAAUAGACGGUACCUGUAAAGUAAGACCGACGGCGUAACUACGUG
This 465-nucleotide ribosomal RNA is filed under the name uncultured bacterium. Its description in RNAcentral is "bacterial SSU rRNA". It matches the Rfam family "Bacterial small subunit ribosomal RNA", at positions 28 to 507 of the family's 1533-position model. The record is from RNAcentral.